RNAcentral lists this ribosomal RNA (328 nucleotides) under uncultured Anaerolineaceae bacterium. Its description in RNAcentral is "bacterial SSU rRNA". It matches the Rfam family "Bacterial small subunit ribosomal RNA", at positions 1040 to 1382 of the family's 1533-position model. Lineage: Bacteria; Bacillati; Chloroflexota; Anaerolineae; Anaerolineales; Anaerolineaceae. The record is from RNAcentral.
GUUGCAUGGCUGUCGUCAGCUCGUGUCGUGAGAUGUUCGGUUAAGUCCGCUAACGAGCGCAACCCUCGUCGUAUGUUAUAUGUGUCAUACGAGACUGCCGGUAAAAAGCCGGAGGAAGGUGAGGAUGAUGUCAAGUCAGCAUGACCUUUAUAUCCAGGGCUACACACACGCUACAAUGGUCUGUACAAUGGGUAGCCAAGCCGCGAGGCGGAGCCAAUCCUGAAAGCAGGCCUCAGUUCAGAUUGCAGUCUGCAACUCGACUGCAUGAAGCCGGAGUUGCUAGUAACCGCAGGUCAGCAAUACUGCGGUGAAUACGUUCCCGGGUCUU